This 253-nucleotide ribosomal RNA is filed under the name uncultured bacterium. RNAcentral describes it as "partial 16S ribosomal RNA". It matches the Rfam family "Bacterial small subunit ribosomal RNA", at positions 524 to 776 of the family's 1533-position model. The record is from RNAcentral.
UACGUAGGGUGCGAGCGUUGUCCGGAAUUAUUGGGCGUAAAGAGCUUGUAGGCGGUCUGUCGCGUCUGCUGUGAAAAUCCGGGGCUCAACCCCGGACUUGCAGUGGGUACGGGCAGACUAGAGUGUGGUAGGGGAGACUGGAAUUCCCGGUGUAGCGGUGAAAUGCGCAGAUAUCAGGAAGAACACCCGUGGCGAAGGCGGCUCUCUGGGACGGUACUGACGCUGAGACGCGAAAGCGUGGGGAGCGAACAGG